AGUGAACGCUGGCGGUAGGCCUAACACAUGCAAGUCGAACGGCAGCACAGUAAGAGCUUGCUCUUACGGGUGGCGAGUGGCGGACGGGUGAGGAAUACAUCGGAAUCUACUUUUUCGUGGGGGAUAACGUAGGGAAACUUACGCUAAUACCGCAUACGACCUACGGGUGAAAGCAGGGGAUCUUCGGACCUUGCGCGAUUGAAUGAGCCGAUGUCGGAUUAGCUAGUUGGCGGGGUAAAGGCCCACCAAGGCGACGAUCCGUAGCUGGUCUGAGAGGAUGAUCAGCCACACUGGAGCUGAGACACGGUCCAGACUCCUACGGGAGGCAGCAGUGGGGAAUAUUGGACAAUGGGCGCAAGCCUGAUCCAGCCAUACCGCGUGGGUGAAGAAGGCCUUCGGGUUGUAAAGCCCUUUUGUUGGGAAAGAAAAGCAGCAGGUUAAUACCCCGCUGUUCUGACGGGACCCAAAGAAUAAGACCGGCUAACUUCGUG
Molecule: ribosomal RNA, 491 nt
Filed under: uncultured bacterium
Lineage: Bacteria
Description: partial 16S ribosomal RNA
Rfam family: Bacterial small subunit ribosomal RNA
Source: RNAcentral